UGGGGAAUCUUGCGCAAUGGGCGAAAGCCUGACGCAGCAACGCCGCGUGCGGGAUGAAGGCCCUCGGGUUGUAAACCGCUUUCAGUGGGGACGAACCAAGACGGUACCCACAGAAGAAGCCCCGGCCAACUACGUGCCAGCAGCCGCGGUAACACGUAGGGGGCAAGCGUUGUCCGGAUUCAUUGGGCGUAAAGAGCUCGUAGGCGGCUCAGUAAGUCGGGUGUGAAACCUCCAGGCUCAACCUGGAGACGCCACCCGAUACUGCUGUGGCUAGAGUCCAGUAGGGGAGCGUGGAAUUCCUGGUGUAGCGGUGAAAUGCGCAGAUAUCAGGAGGAACACCAGCGGCGAAGGCGGCGCUCUGGGCUGGAACUGACGCUGAGGAGCGAAAGCGUGGGGAGCGAACAGG
RNAcentral lists this ribosomal RNA (406 nucleotides) under bacterium. Its description in RNAcentral is "partial 16S ribosomal RNA". It matches the Rfam family "Bacterial small subunit ribosomal RNA", at positions 355 to 776 of the family's 1533-position model. The record is from RNAcentral.